ACGUCUGUGCUUAGCUGCCGUUUUUGUACUGCGUCCGUAAGGGGAGAAUCGGGCAGAAUGGCGAUGCUGAGAGUCAUGUGCUGGUUUCAGAAUGCAGGAUGCUUUAUGGCAUUUCAGCAUUAGUGAGCUGGGAGCCUUCACUAAGCAGCCCAGUCAUCCUGCAUUUUAUGUCUCUGCAGCUCCUUGCGCCGAUCACAAGCAGCACGUGGGUGAGCUUGCAUGCAGCAUCGCAUCAGUUACGCUUUCCUGGUAUGCUUGCCACCAUUUGUAAAAGGCAAAUCGGGGCAAGUAAAAAACAAUGUAUGCAUUAAGACGAGACAAAUCUCUAGGUGACAGAGUUUAAUGAACAAAUCACAGGAUAUAUGGUAUUGUAUCACUACUGGCCAAAGAGGAGGUUUACACACGUCUCCUUGUCCUGCACUGCAUCGUGUUACAACUUCUACAGUCACUAAAACUAUUCCAAUUGAUAAAGCAGCCUGCUCCUGCUGAGAUAGAGCAGCCGUCCCCUAUAAAAGGGGAGGGAUGCUGCACAGCCUCUGGCAGCCUUGUGCAGCAGCCUUUUUCCAAAUGAUGUCAUUCUCCAUGCUGCAAUAGGUCCCGCCUGGCCAGCGUAGCCAAAGCCAGGGGAUUAAAGUAAUGCAAACAUGGGGCUUUUGUAACUGGACUGCAAACAUCCACACCGGACUGGGCACAGGAUUUUCUGCAGUUUGCAGGCCCUCCAGGCUUUUGGGCAGUUUGCUUGCUCCAAAAAGGAGAAGUGGAGCCAGGUCUUCAUCCCGAUCGAAAGUUACAGCAGCAUUAUGUAAAAACAAGUUGGUGGAAAUGGGGAAGCUGAGUGAAAGUGAGAGGCAAACAGAGGGAAGAGGUUGGAGAGAGUUGCUUAGAAAUAAAUCCAGCUGAAAUGCCUCUGUGCCUUAGCAAACAUGCAGGGAAAGUAGAGGGGAAUAGAGGUAUGGCAGAGCCCUUGCAGAAAAACUGACCGUCUUGGCUGAGACCCCUCACCCCAAAAAGAGAUAACCAGAGGGACUCCCUGCUGUGGUCACUGGGAGGUUUGGCACAGAGCUCAACAGCAUGCACAAGGCUGUGUACUCUUUGCAAUCCCUGCUUGAACAGCCAGACAGUGGUGUGAUAGCCAGUGGCUCAGGGUUACCCAGAAAUUAAACAAAUUGUUCAGGGAAAAAAAUAACCUCCUGCACACAGGCAGGGGCAGUAUGUUGCUAAGGAAAUUGUACACCCACAGCUUCCUGCACACUGGAAGAGAUUCACAAAAAGAUACUGCCCACUACUGUUCUUGUGUAGUUCCCUAAAUUCUGGAGGUUUUGGGCUGCCAGAGAUAGUGCUAGAUGAAACUUCCGUUUGCCAUAGGACAACUAUGCCCAUGCUAGAUAAAUCUGUGACGAAUCUCUCUGCUAGCCAGUGCUGGAGUCUGGUAGGAUAUGUUGUCAUUGGUUUGGAAAAGAGUGAGAAAAGCCACUAGGAUAAGAACAUAAAUCCUUUGCAUUCAGAAAGCAAUGACCAUUUAAAAAGCAUGUAAAAUACAUGGGUCACUUUGUGCCUCUUUGAGAGUUUGUGUGGAUUUUUUUUUUUUUUACAGCUGCAGAAGUUCUAGCCCUAUUCCUGAUGGAAAGCUUUAUGCAAGCAACACUGUGACUUGGUUGCAUAUUUUUCCCCACAGGUUUUAACUACUUUCCAGUGGUAAGCAAGGUUUGAGACCUCUUGCAUAACCCCAACUGCACUGAAUUAAAGAGCCUGUACCUUUCCCCUGGUUGCAAGAAGGAUGGCACCUUGCUGCAGUCACUCACAGGCCUACAGCAAGCUCAAAACAGGACAAAGUCCAAAACUAACAUGCAGCACGUGCUGAGAGGAUUUAGUGUGAGGGAUUAUCCACUACAAAUUGCUGUAUGGGCCACAGAUGGUCAGUGAGAUAGCUCAGUCCCAAGAGUCAUUAUUCUGGAAAGCAAAAUGGUAGAGUGGAACAACAGCUGCUAGCAUGAGCAGUAAUAGGAGGGAAUACAAAGGGAGUAUCUGGACUCAUUAUCUUGACAUAAAAGUGCAAGUGGGUCUUAGAAUAUUUAAUGCCCUUUUCUUCUCUGAAGUCCCACACUCUAGAAUUAUAUGGCUGUGAGAAUCUCAAGUUUUGAUUUAAGACUUAUGUUUGGAGAAGUCUGAAACCCAAAAGGUAAACAACAGAUCCAAAAAGAAUCUGAAAUUCUCUAUUUUUCUGCUGCUGUGAUUUAGAAAGGAAGCAGCUAACAGAUUUUCUAAGUGUAGAUACACACAAGCAAGAAUUACUUCAAAAGCUCCAUAAGAGCCUUCACCUCAAGAAAAAACUUCUGAAGCAGUGACAACUCACAUCUGCUUAGACACUUUCAGCAUCUACAACGACUUUAGAGCCUCUCUAAAUUCACUUAUAAUUAAAGUUAUAUAUUUAAAAUACUGUAUUUUUCACUAAUAUUCUCAAACCCCUUGGAAAGUUGUUUUGUGCAAGCCAACAACGGCUUUAAAAAUCCAUGACUUGUAAGCACAGAUCUCAGAAAGUCGAUGUCUGUUGAUCCAGAGACUAGGCACACCUGCAGAAAAGGAUUUCCUUUACUACAUUUCAGAGUUUGGGACCAAUUAGCCAAGCUGACAAUAGUCUUGCUAGGCAGUUCUUAAAGCACCCUAGGAGAUGGAUCUCAAGUUAUGUGCCCAGAUAAAACAAAAGUAGGACAUGGAGGGACAUGUGCAUCUCCCAGGCUCCAGGUGUUUGCUGCAAAAGGUGCUGUUGGACAUUGCCUAGUAGCAUUUCAGCAGGAUUUUACAGCCAGGGAGACCCCCUUCCUCUGGAAGCUGGAGAGAGUUAAAUAAACAACACAGGGAUCUAAGGCAGAAGGUACUUGAUAAAGCAGUGAACUGUGAACAGGAAAAAUACAUGCUGUACUCUGUGUUACACUCUGUCAGUCCAAUACCAGGCCAGAACUGCACCUACCCACAUAAUUUUAUUUAAAUGCCUUCUCCUUGUGCAUAUCAACAGCACGUUAAUACACAUCAUUUCCUUCAGAAAGCUCCAGAAAUGAAGCAAGGCCACAGCACAAUGUAGGGUUUGUGUUGAUGUGCUGCAGAUCUCACCAGAUGAUGGUACUGAGGCUGAGGAGAGGACAUGGUGAUAGUUAAAAAUGCAUCUGUGUCCCACUGCACCUGCCUGUAACAAGCAAAGUCAGCUGGCUGAGCCUCCCCUGUUGUGCCCAUUGAUCUGGAUGCCCCAUUUUCUGUCUGCCUGGUGGAAGGGAAUGACUUGACUGCCUCCAGGAAAGUGUUGCUGAGUCCUGCCAGCUUCAGCUGAAUUCAGCCUGUGCCACAUGUGCUCAGAGCAUCUCAUAUUGCCAGACACUGAUAGACUGCCAGCAUCACCAGGUCCCCAAAUAUUUGUGUGCUCACAUCAGCACGGCUCUCAGCUUCGGUCAACAGUGCACAGACAGGGAGACAUUUACUGCCUUAACUCUAGCAUUUCAUAACUUCUGAGUGCUUAAUUCUGCACCUUUAAAAAACAAUAAACAAACAGUCCAUGUUUUAACAAUUAUUUGUACUAAACUCUUGGCCUUCAAACAACUCUGUUGUUUAGAAAGUUGAGGAUGUGGUAAUCUCCUCCCUACAGCUGUAGGUUAUGAUAACUUGAACUAUCCAGCUUUCAAGUGAAGGUCACAAGACAUUCAAUUUCCUCCUGUGGCGCAAGGGACUUAGCAUAAUGACUUGUGCCCCCUUCAGUUUUCCUCCUCCCUGGACUGGAAACCCACAUAUCCAUCACACCACACCUGACAGCUCCAGAGCAUGCCUCAGCUUCUCCCAGCCCCAGGAAGCAGCACUCAGAAACUAAGGGAGAUAGCAGAAAUAAAGAGAGAUAGCAAGACAGUUCCACCUCUCCACCUCUGCAGCCAAGGUGCAGAGCACAAUGCUGUCCUUCUGCACCAGCAUUCAUUCACCUUUCCAUGUGCACAAUUCUAAUCUGACAGCACUAUGAGAGCUUGCUGCUCUUCAGAGCAUCCAAAACGACCUGCUUUACUCCAUGCUGGAGUGAAAGAGGAGCACUCAGCAUAGCCAGUGAACAUGCUGGUACCAAAAAGGUAAUCACUUCCUAUAGUGCACAAACUCAACUGGAAAAGUACCUUCUUAUACAGUACUUCUGGAGACUUAAAUUUAAAAAGUUAACCUUCUUUUUACGUCAUUGCCAAUCAGCAAUGCCAAACAUUGGAGGUAUUUAUGAGAAAACUAUUGAUUACACACUAUGAUUUUAAAACUCUUGCAGGACUUUCUGGCUUGUAUAUCAGAAAAUGCAGUGGGACACUAGAAGCAACAACAAGAAGCUGAUUAAGUCAAGUAUGGACAACAGGAUGAUAGAAUUUUAAUUAUAGGGGAGAGGGGUACCACAGCUCUGAGCUUUCUCCUUGUGUGUGCUGGUAAACGCUGCAGGACAUCUGAUGUGCUAAUCCUUCACUGUAAUUAAGCAAAAUUAAUGUGAAAAUCAGGCAGUCCUCCAACCCUCAGAAAAUGCAGUUUUGCACCUUUUAAGCAGAGCUGCAGAGGAAGAUACCAGAUCAGGGAGCUCAGACUUUGAGAAUUGUCUGGAGAUGGAAAGAGCAAGAGAUGAAAAUAUGACAAGGGGUGGUGGUGCCUCAAAAUGGAAAACAACAGGGUUGGAGCCCUGGACAAGACUACAGUCAGCAGUCUGGGCUGUCAUGAGAACAAUGUAAUGAGUGCCUGGGGUCUCAGGGCAGUUCCUUCAGUGAGGACCAGGAAGGUGCCACUUCCCUGCAAUGCGAGGGGGAUGCAGCAGAGCUGGACAUGAAUGCCUUGAAGGAACAGAGCAAACAAGCAAGGCAGAAUCUGUGUCAGUGAUGCUCACUUACUGGGAUAAUUUUCUUAAAGGUGUUUAAAUCAGAAGCACAAGAAGCCUGAAAAGACUUUACUUUUACAAAAUAGCAGCCAUUGUGUUCUUCCUCUGCUCUUGAAAAAAAGUUCUAGAUAUUCUAAAGCAAAAGCAAUAAUUUCUUUAACUGCAGUUCAGAACAGGUAUGUUGCAUGGGUCAAAGUAUGUGUUUGAUUUUCUUUCACGUGUCAGAUCUGGCAUUGUUUGACCCCUUGCAGUGGUGAUUCAGCACACAUUGCCAGGAGAAAAUAAACCCUUUUUUUAGAAUUGUUCUUUUGGCAUUAUUUUAGGGGGAUUUGUUAUAAUUUUUGCUGGCUUGAGCUUGCUAAGCACACAGAUGAGCCCAAGAACUAGCAUGAGACAAUCGGUGGCAGUGUGUGUCUGGGACCAUCUCUUUUGGCAGAAGCAAGAUGUUAAAUGAGCUCAGUUGCCUCAUGACACCUCACUGAACACAAAACAGCAAGUGACAGGCUCUCCAAAAAGAUAUUUGUUUCACCAGGAAUUCAAACCAAGCUUCUUCCAGCAGCUGUUGGGAAAGACCAGAUUUGCAUAGCAACACAGGCAGUAUUUGUACAGGGCCUUUUUGUGAAGGAUGAGAUUAAACCUCUGGUACACAGGAGGGAUGAAAGCUUCAGAGAAAAGAUGCAUCAGAGAAAAGACUGCUUAUUAAUCUUAAGAAGCUAUUUUCUUCCUAACAACGGUCUUGGAUUUAUUUUUCAUAUAACAGGAAUUUUGGGAUAUUCGGCCUUCAUGUUUAUUUAAGGAAUUAUUUUGUAGUAUCCCCCACUUUUUUCCCCAAGGAAGCACUUUUAAGACUAAGUAAUGUGGCUGUGACUUUUUUUUUUCUUUUUGGUAUUUAAGUGUAUUAACGGCAAAGUCAUAAAAAUCAGUCCUGUAGCACAGCCAAGCCUGAAGAAAAGUCUGCUCAAUAGAGAUUACUGUUUCCACAGCAGUUUCCAGAGGAGGAAUGUAUGUUUCCACAUACAACAAGCGACCUUUUAUGUCAGUGAGUCUGAGAAGAGGUCUUGUCCAACCCAGCUAAAUUCAGUUUCUAAAAAACAUUUUCUUUUGCUGGAAGGCAGAAGGCUGGGGUUUCGCCAGGGAAGGUGGCCAGGCUGUGCAGGGCCACGUGGACAAGUGUGGUGCAUUCUCCCCGCUCCCCCAGUGCAAGGGGUCUGCAGGGAAAUGUGGCUUGGACCUGCUUCUGCUCCGAGUAAUGCAUCCCCGGCAGGAGGAUGGACAAUGGACUGGAGAGGAGGGGACCCAGACAAGAGGCAUCAUGCAUUAAAGACAAGACCACAUUAGGGCAUCAGUGAUCACACACAUUCCAGAUAAAAUCAGACUGAAGACACCGAAAGAAAAUGUUUUGCGUGCUUUAUUAGCAUUUGAGUAUCGUUGAUGAGACGCCUCUUAUAAACCCACCUAACUUUUUAUCCCCCCACCUUUCAUUUGAAAAUGACCAGCAGCUUCAACCUGGAAGGUAAAAAUCAGCACGGAGCUUAUUAACAAAAGCUGCCAUCCCCCAAGUGGGUAAACAGAAGUGUUUGCCACAGUCGUCCCCAAUUAUUGUUGUUUUUUUUUGUGAAUUGGCUUGUCUGAUGCAAGUGUAUUAGCAUUUAGUCAAGACAUGUAUAUCCUCAGCAGCAUCAGCAGGGCUACAGUGACAUGGCCGUGGCCAAAAGGGAAAGGAUGAACCAGAAGGCAGAAGUAAUUAAGCUGUUCAGCAGUUUAUGUGCUACAUUCUGUUUCUGAGGCCAGCCAUGGCACGGGUCACCUGCUUUAGGGUUGAUAAAUUAAAGUUCAGCCUAACUGCCCCCAGUGACAAGUUGUUUUCUUGAUCAAGUUUAAACACCAACAUUUCUCCUGACCCUGCCCCUGUCACUCAUUUGCUUAAAAUAUUUCAUACUUUGAUCCCUAAAAAGCAUGUUUUCUUUCUUUUAAAGGAAACUUCAGAAAGUAGCAUGUUUAUUUGGAUUUUUGGUGGUGUUUUCUCCCUUCUCUUCUAACACAGAGUAAAAAGACUUUCAAGCAUAGCUGCUUCCCCCAAAAGCAUAUGUCAUGACAUAUUUGGCAUCUAUCAAAUAAAAAAAAAACUAUGAUUUGGUGUACAAAAGCCCUGAGUUUGCACUACUGUCCCCUCAGCCACCCUGUCCUCAUUCAUCUCCAGUAAAUAAGCAGUUAAAAGCUGAAGAAAAAACUAGAAGGGGCAGAACCACUCUCAUUUAUCCAUGGUGGUCAAACAACUUGUAAGAGAAGGAGGAGGAGGAGGAUGCAUUUGCCUGUGACAGCAUGAGGCCAGUCUGGGUAAGCACAAUGUCACCCAGUGUUUGGGUACAAUUCACAAAUGUUGUAUGUUAACCACUGUUAAAUAUUCACAAACCCUCCUGUGAGGGUCCCUUGAAAUCACUCUCAGUUUGCUAAUUGUUAGCCCCUAAUGGUAGUUUCUCAUUAAUAAAGGAACAGGACAAGAUCCGGAAACAAGGCAAGACGGAGAUCCAGAAAAAGGCAAAAACACGUGAAAAAUACCGAGAAUCAGGCACAUAAGUCAAUAUAUCUGGAUUACUCUUUGCCACCCUUUGUUUUAGAGCUCAAUACUUAGCUUAGAAUACCCAUCAUAUUUGGUAAUUUGUUUUGGUAAUAACAAUGGAUUCACUUGGAUUUAUUAGACAUUGCAUACUUUAUUUAAGACCAAUCUCUGGAUUUGUACCAAUGCCUGCUGACAGUGCUCUCACACUGUGUCUUUCCAAGCAAGAAAUGAGGUCAUCAUGAUUCAUGUAAUAAACUGAUACACAUUUUGCGGCAAUUUGGAAGAGUUUUUAAAAUUCUAAAUGAGGUCAUUUUGGCUUGGGCUUUUUGAGGGUCUUUUUCUCUUUUUGGAAAUUUGGAAUUUUUCCACUUUGCAAUUAGGAUUUCCCAAGUGGAGACCAAACUUUAUAAAAUCCAGGAAGAAACUCAAUUCUGUUUCUUUGUUGUUUAUUAUUAUCAUUAUUAUUAUUAAUAUUUUUUUUUUUCCUUACUGAAGUUGAGAAGCAUACAUGGUUUGUUUCUGAACAAAGUGCUGCCCUUUUCUGGCAAGAAGGGAGUCUUCUUUAAUUAAGUGACAUUCCAGAAAGUUUGCAAUUAGAAAGGAUCAAGGUACAAAGAGAACAGCCUGAGGAAAUGCUUUUUCAAAGAGGGCAUGGCUUGUUGAUAAUUUUGACAAGGCAAGAGGAAUAGCUACAAUAACUACAUUUAUUUUAUUCUAGGCUUGGGCUCUUAAAAGGUAGAAAAUGCCUUACAUUUACAAGAAGACAGCAGGAACAAGACAGAUCCUUAGGCAUAACAUUAGAUAUUGCACCUGGACUUCUGGAAUCACUGACUACAGAGGGCAGAGAAGUUCAGCCAGAAGACAACAGAAGAAGGUAUUGGCAGUCAGCACCACACCAAGGAGGACAUGGUUCCUGGUAUAGUUUGUAGUCAAAACCACCAACCACCUUGCAAAGCAAUCUCACAGAAAACAAAAUACUGAGGCACCUGACAAGGGUGAACAAGCUCAAGGGAUACAAAUCCCUAACACUACAGAAAUCACAUGCUUCUUAUGAAUCUCUAAGCUGACCUCUUCCUGGGCAUGACCUGCUGACCUCCAUGACCACAUCCAUGUUCCUGGGCUAAAGCAGCCUUGAAUCCAAACCAGUGCAGCAAAUCACCAUUACCUGCUCACAAGGCUUUGGCAUGGCCAUGGACUGGACAGACCUCAGGCUUGGUACCAUCCAGCCAGCUCCUCUUGAGUCCUCACCACAUCACACUCCACAGCUUACCCCAGGGAUUCACCAAAAGGCACCAGGGCACUGCAGGUUUCCUAUGCCAUUAUUCCCAGCACUACAGGGUUUGUUUACUGUGAGCAGCCUCACAGGGAUCAGUUAGGCUGGAGAGAGCAAAACUGAAAGGGUUCAGAUACUACCAAAGCUGCUCUCCCUGCACAAAGGUAGACUUCACAGAAGUUCAGUGUCUGAAGAGAUGCUCAGUUCAGAAAUGAAGCAAAAGAUUUUCUGCUUAGGAAAAAAACCUGGGAACGGUGACAAAAAAAAAAAAAAAAACCCAAAUUAAUGCCUUAGCAGCAGUAUCAAGCAAGUAAAAUUUGUUUCCAGUCUGGUCACCUUGUUCUAGACCUGCACUUGUGUUUCUCUCCCUUAAAAAAAUGUUUGCUUUGUUGUUUAGUUGUUUGGAAGCAGUCAGCCAUUAUACAGAAUUAAAUGCUUUCUAUUAUGCAAAGGCUGAUGCUGUCUGAGCUGUAACUGCAUGGCUGUGAACAACAUAUUAAUUUAAAGUCUGUAUGAUUACACUUUACCAUUAAAGGUCACUCAGCAUUU
Taeniopygia guttata (zebra finch) is the source of this 9252-nucleotide long non-coding RNA. RefSeq lists it as uncharacterized. The record is from RefSeq and is a predicted model, not a curated record. Lineage: Eukaryota; Metazoa; Chordata; Aves; Passeriformes; Estrildidae.